GAGACCGGUGGUGGGGGGAGGCACACGAGUCAGAGUACGGGAAUGACCCCUGAAUGAGAGAGAGCAGCAGCACAGGGUACAGUGUGUCUCAGCACUGCAGUAGCACAGCAGCAAAGCGUGUGACCUUAGAGGGAACAGCCUAGAGCCAGAGGGAAGCCUUGAAAGAAAGUUCCGGAAGCAGCGGUCAUGAUGAAGCAGGAUCUCCCAGGUUACGAAGCUCAAUGCGAGCAUUUGCCCUGCGUGGCUGCAUAUUCCCACUUGCUAUUGAAAAGACCAAGUUUACCUGGGACAUGACUGUUUUUUGAAGAAAGGAAGAUUGGCAUCGGGCUAAAAUACUCAGGGCUACAGCCCCAAGUGAUCGGACCUAGCGACGCCCAUGGCGUGGACAAGUGAAGGGACCCGAGAUUUAACUGCAAUAUGGUCGAAAGAACUAAAGAUCAGGAUAGUGUAAAAAUAAAUAUUUUGCAUAAUACAGUAGGACAGCACGG
This is a long non-coding RNA of Paramormyrops kingsleyae, 488 nucleotides long. RefSeq lists it as uncharacterized. The record is from RefSeq and is a predicted model, not a curated record. Lineage: Eukaryota; Metazoa; Chordata; Actinopteri; Osteoglossiformes; Mormyridae.